RNAcentral lists this ribosomal RNA (264 nucleotides) under uncultured bacterium. RNAcentral describes it as "partial 16S ribosomal RNA". It matches the Rfam family "Bacterial small subunit ribosomal RNA", at positions 15 to 278 of the family's 1533-position model. The record is from RNAcentral.
GAUCCUGGCUCAGGAUGAACGCUAGCGGCAGGCCUAAUACAUGCAAGUCGAACGGACCUUGAUUCUUCGGAAUCUUGGUUAGUGGCGCACGGGUGCGUAACGCGUAUGCAACCUACCUUCCACUGGGGGAUAGCCCCGGGAAACCGGGAUUAAUACCGCAUAACACCGUUUGAGGGCAUCCGAAGACGGUUAAAGUUUCGGCGGUGGAAGAUGGGCAUGCGUGCCAUUAGCUUGUUGGCGGGGUAACGGCCCACCAAGGCGACG